Triplophysa rosa is the source of this 2082-nucleotide RNA transcript. It is a transcript of the gene named contactin-6-like, with no coding region annotated. The record is from RefSeq and is a predicted model, not a curated record. Lineage: Eukaryota; Metazoa; Chordata; Actinopteri; Cypriniformes; Nemacheilidae. The transcript is spliced from 9 exons.
UAAGAUCACGAGUUUGCUUGCCUCCAAUUUUAUGAUGAAAUACCACCUUUGUAACACACUUCUGUAAAGUUUUUUGAAAAUCUUUUUUGUUUUUGUUGAUUAAGAAGAAGAGAACAUUUUCAGAAUUAUUACUGUUUUGCUCUUCUGGAUUUCUGAACAAACAUUUAGUGUACUCUUUAUAUCACAUUAGGCACAAAAGUAAGAGCAUGGGCUUUAACUUUACAUUCAUAUCGCUGAUUCUACUGGUGAACAUCGAAGAUAUACUAACAUUGGAGCGCUUACAUGUAAACUGUGAACACAAGAACAAUUGUGCACUGAGGGAGACUGAAGUGACACUGAGGUGUGUUUACUUAAAAGGGGACAUCAAAACUGGGUUCUGGUUCAGCCACAAACAGAGUGAAAACUGGAGAGAAAGUGAUGAACCUGAAGAUAUAGCUUUGGAUUUCGACUACUCAGGACGAGUGAAGCAGCAGAUCACUAACUAUCAAUCAGCUCUCACAAUAAGAGACGUGAGAGAGAGAGACUCUGGAGAAUAUCAGCUCAUGUUCAUUAUGAAGGAUGGAGUUAAACACAUCAGCUCAGUCACAGUCCAUCUAACAGUCACAGUCUUGCAGGUGAAGGUACAUGAGCAAUCUACAGAGGAGAGAGAUCAGACAGUAUUGACCUGUGAAACUUCCUGCACUUUGUCCCCGAAUCCUGGGUAUGCCUACUGGAAAAAAGAUGGACAAUAUAUACAACAUGUUUAUACUGAACGCCUUUCCGUUUCAUCAAGUGAAUAUGCUGCCUACUUCUGUCUUACUCCAGACCAUAAAAUCUCUUCUGCUCCUGUGUGUCUUUCUGACAGAUGCUGGCACGUGACUUACACGUCUAGAAGAGUUUGUGCUUUAGUGGGAUCAACAGUAGAAAUUCACUCUUCAUACUCCCAUCCCACUGGAUAUACAGUAGUGAACACAUACUGGCAUUCUCGUCCCGAGAGAGUCAUAGAUAUACGUGAGGAGCAGCAGUUUGCUGGUCGUGUGGAGUAUGUGGGAAACACACUGAGAAUCAAAGACGUCAACAUGAGCGACUCUGGAGAAUAUCAAUUCAGAAUCAUCACUAACACUUCUGACGGCAAAUAUUCUGGUUCACCGGGAGUCAAUCUUACUGUUACAGACACACAGGUGACAAUCAGCCCAGUCGUUGUGUCCGACGGAGAGAAAGUGAUAUUAAGCUGUUCAACCAAAUGCACUCUGGAUAAAAGCAUGACAUUCUCGUGGUACAAGAACGGACAGCCAGUAACAGAUGGAUUUACAUUAUUAAACAAGCUGUACCUGGACUCAGUCAACAAAGAUGAGCUGAAAGAAUAUUCCUGUACUGUCACAGGUACCACAGAGGAACCAGUGAAAAGUCUAGUGCCUGACUUUCUGAUUGUGUUUGUGGUUCAAGUACUCAUUAUAGGUGCUGUCUGGGUGUGGUUUUUCUUGAAAAUAUUCUUCUUGUCUAAAUACCAGAUUAAUGACAAAAAUGAAGAGAUUCAGGUGUCUCAUAUGUCUGCAUGUACAUCUGCUGUCUCUUCAACGGAACUGGUGGCGUGAACACAAUGAUACAGUAAUAUCACAUACACUGGGAUAAUAAUUGACCAGUUUGCAUAGUCUGCAAAAGUACAUUUUUAUUAUUAUUGUGCAGUAAAACACCAACUCUAAAACAUUUCUGGUGUAUACAAGGGCAGAAAAUUGUAGUUUUGUAUCACAAGUAUUACUUUUUACAUUUUGUACAAAUUUUGUGUCUGUAUGGUAUUGACUGCUUGAUAUUUUAAGUGAGUAGUUCCUGCAUAUGUGCACAUGUGUAUUAGAAAAUGUAUUCAUUUCUUUUAUUAAAAGUCUCUAGGUGGCCUACAGUUUACUUGUCUAGCCUGAAGUGCUGCCUCUUGGUUAUGAUAACUAACAACAAAGUCACUUAUGAAAUGGAACGUCUUGGUUACGGAUGUAACCUCAGUUCCCUGAUGGAGGGAAUGAGAUGUUGUGUCCUUCUUGCCACAACGCUGGCUGCCCGCCGCAGCAGUCGAGGGAUGCUCAGGCUCCUCAGACCAAAAGGUGAAUGAAU